This 800-nucleotide ribosomal RNA is filed under the name uncultured bacterium. RNAcentral describes it as "bacterial SSU rRNA". It matches the Rfam family "Bacterial small subunit ribosomal RNA", at positions 8 to 826 of the family's 1533-position model. The record is from RNAcentral.
AGAGUUUGAUCCUGGCUCAGGACGAACGCUGGCGGCGCGCCUAACACAUGCAAGUCGAGCGAGAACCAGGGCUUGCCCUGGGGACAGCGGCGAACGGGUGCGUAACACGUGAGCAACCUGCCCCAAAGACCGGGACAACCCGAGGAAACUCGGACUAAUACCGGAUGCCCUCACCGGGUCGCAUGGUCUGGUGAGGAAAUGGAUUCCGCUUUGGGAUGGGCUCGCGGUCUAUCAGCUUGUUGGUGGGGUAACGGCCUACCAAGGCGACGACGGAUAGCUGGUCUGGGAGGACGAUCAGCCACACUGGGACUGAGACACGGCCCAGACUCCUACGGGAGGCAGCAGUGGGGAAUCUUGCGCAAUGGGGGAAACCCUGACGCAGCGACGCCGCGUGCGGGAUGAAGGCCUUCGGGUUGUAAACCGCUUUCAGCAGGGACGAAAUUGACGGUACCUGCAGAAGAAGGCCCGGCCAACUACGUGCCAGCAGCCGCGGUAAUACGUAGGGGCCUAGCGUUGUCCGGAAUUAUUGGGCGUAAAGAGCUCGUAGGCGGUUCGGCAAGUCGGAUGUGAAAUCUCCACGCUUAACGUGGAGGGGCCAUUCGAAACUGCUGUGACUCGAGUCCGGUAGGGGAGUGUGGAAUUCCCGGUGUAGCGGUGAAAUGCGCAGAUAUCGGGAGGAACACCAGUAGCGAAGGCGGCACUCUGGGCCGGUACUGACGCUGAGGAGCGAAAGCGUGGGGAGCGAACAGGAUUAGAUACCCUGGUAGUCCACGCCGUAAACGUUGGGCACUAGGUGUGGG